RNAcentral lists this ribosomal RNA (497 nucleotides) under uncultured bacterium. RNAcentral's name for it is "partial 16S ribosomal RNA". It matches the Rfam family "Bacterial small subunit ribosomal RNA", at positions 28 to 507 of the family's 1533-position model. The record is from RNAcentral.
GAUGAACGCUGGCGGCGUGCCUAAUACAUGCAAGUCGAGCGAACGGACGAGAAGCUUGCUUCUCUGAUGUUAGCGGCGGACGGGUGAGUAACACGUGGAUAACCUACCUAUAAGACUGGGAUAAAUUCGGGAAACCGGAGCUAAUACCGGAUAAUAUUUUGAACCGCAUGGUUGAAAAGUGAAAGACGGUCUUUCUGUCACUUAUAGAUGGAUCCGCGCUGCAUUAGCUAGUUGGUAAGUUAACGGCUUACCAAGGCAACGAUGCAUAGCCGACCUUAGAGGGUGAUCGGCCACACUGGAACUGAGACACGGUCCAGACUCCUACGGGAGGCAGCAGUAGGGAAUCUUCGGCAAUGGGCGAAAGCCUGACGGAGCAACGCCGCGUGAGUGAUGAAGGUCUUCGGAUCGUAAAACUCUGUUAUUAGGGAAGAACAUAUGUGUAAGUAACUGUGCACAUCUUGACGGUACCUAAUCAGAAAGCCACGGCUAACUACGUG